RNAcentral lists this transfer RNA (81 nucleotides) under Helianthus annuus (common sunflower). RNAcentral's name for it is "tRNA HanXRQr2_Chr03g0110781". It matches the Rfam family "tRNA". Rfam says of the family: Transfer RNA (tRNA) molecules are approximately 80 nucleotides in length. Their secondary structure includes four short double-helical elements and three loops (D, anti-codon, and T loops). Further hydrogen bonds mediate the characteristic L-shaped molecular structure. tRNAs have two regions of fundamental functional importance: the anti-codon, which is responsible for specific mRNA codon recognition, and the 3' end, to which the tRNAs corresponding amino acid is attached (by aminoacyl-tRNA synthetases). tRNAs cope with the degeneracy of the genetic code in two manners: having more than one tRNA (with a specific anti-codon) for a particular amino acid; and 'wobble' base-pairing, i.e. permitting non-standard base-pairing at the 3rd anti-codon position. The record is from RNAcentral. Lineage: Eukaryota; Viridiplantae; Streptophyta; Magnoliopsida; Asterales; Asteraceae.
GCUAAACAUCCAUAGCUGAAUGGUUAAAGCAUUCAACUCAUAAUUGGCAAAUUCCUAAGUUCAGUUCCUAUUGGACUUUCU